Chenopodium quinoa (quinoa) is the source of this 433-nucleotide long non-coding RNA. RefSeq lists it as uncharacterized. The record is from RefSeq and is a predicted model, not a curated record. NCBI's taxonomy places the organism in Eukaryota, Viridiplantae, Streptophyta, Magnoliopsida, Caryophyllales, Amaranthaceae. The transcript is spliced from 3 exons.
AUUGAAUAUAGACGGUUAGAUCAACUGAACAAGUAAAACCUAAACCUAGAAAAAAAAAACCACUCUAUCAGCCAUUCAGCCGUUUUACAUACUCUUCUACUCUCAAUCACAGUUGAAAACAUUUUCCUCCAAAAAUCAAAGGAAAACAUUAUCCUCCAAAAAAACGAUUCUCUCUCCUAGAGCUCAUAUCCUUCCCCGAUUUUUUCUCCCUCCUCCAUUGAAGCAGCUUGUGAGGUCUCAAAUAGGGCUUGGUUUUUGGGUCUUUCGCUUCUCUGAGGUAGCGUACUCCAUUAAAGCGACUUCUGUGCUUCAUCUCCCCCAUUAAAGUGUACUCUGGAUUCUCCAUUGAAGCGGCGCAGCGUGUGAGCAUUAUCUCCUCCAUUGAACUGAUUUCCGUCAAACCUCAAGCCGUCAAACCUCAAGGUAAUUUUUU